GACGUAGGGUGCGAGCGUUGUCCGGAUUUAUUGGGCGUAAAGAGCUCGUAGGCGGCUCGUCGCGUCGACCGUGAAAACCCGCGGCUUAACUGCGGGCUUGCGGUUGAUACGGGCGGGCUAGAGUUCGGUAGGGGAGUCUGGAAUUCCUGGUGUAGCGGUGAAAUGCGCAGAUAUCAGGAGGGACACCGGUGGCGAAGGCGGGACUCUGGGCCGAUACUGACGCUGAGGAGCGAAAGCGUGGGGAGCGAACAGG
RNAcentral lists this ribosomal RNA (253 nucleotides) under uncultured bacterium. Its description in RNAcentral is "partial 16S ribosomal RNA". It matches the Rfam family "Bacterial small subunit ribosomal RNA", at positions 524 to 776 of the family's 1533-position model. The record is from RNAcentral.